GUCUAUAAAAUACCCAAAUUGAAUUAAAAUAAAAACCGAAGAUUGUCUAACAAGAAAAUGACAAUAAAUAUCAACAGAAAAUGAAAUUACAACCCCCAAAUAUUCGUAAACGGAAUAUGUAUCCACAUUAUCAUAUAACUAUAUAAGUAUUGCAAAACCCCAAAUCUCUCAAAUAAAUAAAUUAAUUAUUUUAUUUCAUAUACAAGCAACAAAUGACAAAAAAUGCCCACUAUAACUGUGAAAACGCACUGAACAUAAAAUAAAAAUACCAAUGAAAAUGGACUUAUUAUAGAAACCCCCCAUCAAAUCUCAUCCAACACCCAUGUUAUUGACUAUAUGUUUCAUCAUAUCGACUCUGUUCCAACAACACGGCUUCUCCUGCUCCGGUGCUUUCCGUUGCGGUGACGCCUCGGAAUCCCGCCAAAAGUGACCGGAUCAUGAACCCUAAGCCGCUGAGCCUCUGCGGGAAUCACCACACACUCAGGUAGAGCAACCUUGUACCUGUUCCGAUCAUAGCAAUACGAGUAUGUCAUGUGUUUCCUCCUGAAAACGCCCAUCUUAACCCUCUGCGACGGGCUAAUCUCCUGAGCCGCGCGGAUAUCCUCGUCUGCUCCUUCGUCGCACUUAGGAAACUGCUCAAUAGGGUCCACGGCGCAGCCAUGAAGGACUAAGUCAGUGAGCUGCGCGACAUAAGGGGCAUACUUGUAGUUUACACCGUACUUGCCACCGUUAGUUGCCCAUUUAGAACCGUCCCAUAUUGUUGUGUAGAGAGACAUCGGCUUUGAUGGGAAGUGACCUCCCAUCGACGCUGUUCGCUUCACCUCUCUGAUAGGAACGUUGUCUACAAAGAAUCUGCAUAACACAAAAGACGUACAAUUUUGAUCAGUUCCCACAAAAAAAUAAUAAGCUAAAAAGGAUUAUUUAUCCAAAAAUAAACAUAUUUGGUAAAAAAAAAUUAAAAAAAUUCUAUAAACAUAGUUAGAUUCUGUAUGAGUCAUCGAUGCCACUUUAGUGGAGGAAAUUACGAUCUAGAUCGAUACCAAGAAAACUUUAACUCACAAAAGAUAACAUUUUUAGCAUAAAACUCCAGCUUUUGAUGAACUAAGUAAAGAUUCUCAACAUGGAUUGGACCCCCCAAGGAAAAUACAACUCCGUAGGGGAUUUUUGUUGAUGCCAAAAAUUAAAAGCUGUAAACCAUUCUUGGGGCUCACAGACUUGAAAUCGACAGGAACAAAAGCAAAUGAUGUCCCAAGCAUCACAAAACUUUCCAUUAGAAGAAAUAAAAAUUUAAAUCCAUCAAGAAAUUAAAGCAUAACAAAAAAAAAACAUUAAGCCCCACUUGAAUUUUCCUUAAAAAGAAGAUGGCAUUGAAGUAUAUUAAACCAAAUGGGGUCAAGAACCUAACCUACUUUCAAUACUCUAAGGUUCUUUUAUUUUAUUUAAGACAAUCAAACAAACACAGAGAACUAACAGAGAAAUGGUUAUUUGGAGUUUUCCAUUUUAAAACUUACAUGAUGUGAGAAUCAGACCAGAGAAUACUAUAUUGAUGAUAAUCUUCAGUUGGAUCAAACCAUAGAUUAGAUCUCUCUUCUCUUCCCAAAUGAGUGCUUCCAUUACCGUAAAUGUUUGUCUGAAUCCUCCAUUCUUUUCCUCUAAUAUUACCAAGAAACUCAAAAUCAAUCUCAUCAUGAUUCUUCUCAUACAUAUCUCCAUUUGACAUCUGAAAAUAUUACAAAUCACAAAAAAAAACUACAUUAAGAUCCUAAUCCCAAUAUAAAUAUUGGUGAAAUUAAUCAUAUUUAUUAGAAAAAUAUAUUUAAUUGAUUAGUUCUAGCCAUACCCAACAGCUUUAAACUUAAGCUAAAUAUUUCACUUACAUAGAAGGCAACAACUACUCCAGCUGAAUAAUCAGAAGGUAAUUUGAUUGAAGCGCUGAAUAAUCCAUGUAAGUAUAGAUCAUUUGAGACAAACCCAGAACCUGUAAGGAGGAAAUAAAUUAAAUCAUCACUAUACUGAGAAAAAAGAACAACCUAACACAGAGGAAAAUUUUAAAAACCAUACCGGUCCUUUCAUCGAGCGUUAACCGGACAGAUUUGCCGUCUUUAUGAACGAACAAGUUCUUGUCACCAAAAAGCUGCGUGUAACUUUCUUCAAAAGAUGUGACUGGAAGAUUUUGCAGAGUGAAUCCCAGCAUCUUCAACCUCCUUACAUAUCUCUCUACACUUUGUCAAUCUCCCAGAAGCUAUACAAACGCUGAUCAUAUCGCGAAAAACAUCAUACGUUGGAGUAAAACCAGCUUCCUUGAGCUUAGAGUAGUAUCUCAUUGCUCUUCCCAAAUCAUCCAACGCCACAAAUAAUCUAAUGACCACUCUAUAAGCAGGAAGAUCAAGAAGACAGUUCGAUUCCUCCAUCUCCCAAACCAUACUCAUCGCCUCUCUAUACUUCUCUUCCGAAAACCUGCUGUGUAUCAUGGUAGUGUACAUCACAACGCUCGGCUCUCUGUUUGAUUCUUUGUACCAUUCAAAGAGACACUCAACGAGCUCGAACCUUUUAAGUUUCACGCAGAUCUUCAUCACGCUCGUGCAGUCUUGCUGGCUCAGCUUCAAGUCUUCUCUAUCUUUCAACUCGUCGAGGAGGGAAACAACGAGAUGGUACUUGUCAGGGUUUUUAGCGAUCUCUAGAAUCAUCUUAACGUAGAUACUCGAGUCGAGGACACGGUUGUUACUUUUAGCUAUCAGUAAAAGCUUCCUCGCUAGGUUCAGCCAACCGCCUUCGAUGCAGCCUUUGAUCAUGGCUUCGAUAACGCUCUUGCUAGCCAAGGUGUUGUCGAACUUGAGGAGCUUCAGCUCGCGGUGCUUGGCUAGGACCUGGAUGGUGGACGCGAGGAUGCGGUUAUCAGGAAAGAGAUGAGGAUGCUUCUCCGCCCAGCGGUAGGUCUGCAAGGCUCUCUCGGGCAAACCCAUGUGGCCGAGCUCGCGGAUGGUGGUGGAGAGGGAGCCUUUGCGGAGGAAGGUGGACCAUUUGUUGAGGACGAGAGAGACGUCUGCUUCAGGGGAAGGUAAGUGUUUGAUCUCUCUAGCUAAACUGAUGAGAAAGCUCGGGUCUUUUGAUGAUGAUGACACGAGUGGUUUCUUGAUGUUGUUGGGCUUUGGAGUUGGGAGGCCUAAAGGUCGUAGCUUGUGAGGCUGAGGAAGUGGUAGAGGCCUGACUCGAACCACUCUCUCUGGUUUCUGAGGGAUUCUUUGCUGGAAAAGAGAUGAGAUCGCUUCGAUUUCGUUUGGUUCCCAGACAUCAGGACUACCAUCAAGCUCUUGAUCUUCUUCUUCUUGUUCUUGUAGUGGUAACAACGGUUCUGUGAUGGGUUUCCUUAGGAACAAGUUGACACCGAACUCAGGAGGGAGUUUGGUGCGGCGUGGGUUACGGAGAUUCUUAGUGAGUUUCUUCUUUGCGUAGACUUUCGAUGUUGCUCGGAUACUGCUCGGUUGGAAGAUAAGUGACGAAGAGACAGGACAAUGCAUCAUCGUUGGUUUUCUAAUUCACAGUGAAUCAAACUCGAAUUGAGAGUAACCUAGCUUAAUUGAAUAGGGAACAGCUAGGGUUUUGAGAUAGAGAGAGAACACGAGGAAGAAGAUGAACUUUUUUUUUUUUUUUUUGAAUAAUUAUUUUACCCGACCCGCCGAUUUUUACCCGAUUCGAACUCACCCGAUUAGACCGGUCUGACCUGACCCGGUUCGGAAAGGCAAAAGGAGAAAAGAUUGUUUUCGGGAUAAGAACUAGCUGCGUGGCAGGACCUUUGGAAGCAUGUGGAGGUUUCCAGUGGGAAAAUAGCUGGCGGGACGGACAAAAAGCAUCGCCUAAAACAACACAAUGAGAACUGAGCUGAUGCCAGUUUUUCACAAGUCUUUAUCUCUUUAGAGAUGGUCCCUAAAAUGCGAAACUCUACACUGAUAAUGAGCUAAACCAAAUUUGUUUUUCUUUUCUUUUUUAGAUUUUAGAAUGAUUCAUAAAUUCGAACCAUAAACCGGUAAUUGUUUACUCCGACUAAUAAUUUUAUGUAAAUGUGAAAAGUACAAUGUAGUAUAUCAUUAUCGCCAGCACAAAGUUAUUUUCACAUGUUUUUCCUUAAUGUAAACAGUUUUUUUAAAAAAAUUACCCAAAUUUUGACAAAUUGAAACAUAACAACUACACAAGGUCAUGAGUCUCAUGACUUCUCCCCUAUGCUUUCGGGCCGACUUAAUGAUUGCAUAUAAAUUGUCAUCGCAUGUAUAUACUACAUAUAUGUGCAUGAACAUGGCCACACCAAAUUAAAUCGAAUAAUAUUCACUGGACCCCUUGGAUAAAACAAGCAGAAGAGAGACAAACUUUCGUCUAUAAAAUACCCAAAUUGAAUUAAAAUAAAAACUGAAGAUUGUCUAACAAGAAAAUGAAAUUACAACCCCCAAAUAUUCGUAAACGGAAUAUGUAUCCACAUUAUCAUAUAACUAUAUAAGUAUUGCAAAACCCCAAAUCUCUCAAAUAAAUAAAUUAAUUAUUUUAUUUCAUAUACAAGCAACAAAUGACAAAAAAUGCCCACUAUAACUGUGAAAACGCACUGAACAUAAAAUAAAAAUACCAAUGAAAAUGGACUUAUUAUAGAAACCCCCCAUCAAAUCUCAUCCAACACCCAUGUUACUGACUAUAUGUUUCAUUAUAUCGACUCUGUUCCAACAACACGGCUUCUCCUGCUCCGGUGCUUUCCGUUGCGGUGACGCCUCGGAAUCCCGCCAAAAGUGACCGGAUCAUGAACCCUAAGCCGCUGAGCCUCUGCGGGAAUCACCACACACUCAGGUAGAGCAACCUUGUACCUGUUCCGAUCAUAGCAAUACGAGUAUGUCAUGUGUUUCCUCCUGAAAACGCCCAUCUUAACCCUCUGCGACGGGCUAAUCUCCUGAGCCGCGCGGAUAUCCUCGUCUGCUCCUUCGUCGCACUUAGGAAACU
RNAcentral lists this long non-coding RNA (4977 nucleotides) under Brassica napus (rape). RNAcentral's name for it is "long non-coding RNA (BNAP_LNC005609)". The record is from RNAcentral. Lineage: Eukaryota; Viridiplantae; Streptophyta; Magnoliopsida; Brassicales; Brassicaceae.